CCUACGGGAGGCAGCAGUAGGGAAUCUUUCACAAUGGGCGAAAGCCUGAUGGAGCAACGCCGCGUGCAGGAUGAAGGCCUUCGGGUUGUAAACUGCUUUUAUAAGCGAGAAAUAUGAUGGUAACUUAUGAAUAAGGAUCGGCUAACUACGUGCCAGCAGCCGCGGUCAUACGUAGGAUCCGAGCAUUAUCCGGAGUGACUGGGUGUAAAGAGUUGCGUAGGUGGCAUAAUAAGUAGCUAGUGGAAUCUGGUGGCUCAACCAUUCAGACUAUUAGCUAAACUGUUAAGCUCGAGACCGUUAGAGGUAACUGGAAUUUCUAGUGUAGGAGUGAAAUCCGUAGAUAUUAGAAGGAACACCAAUAGCGUAGGCAGGUUGCUGGGACGGUUCUGACACUAAGGCACGAAAGCGUAGGGAGCAAACAGGAUUAGAUACCCGUGUAGUC
RNAcentral lists this ribosomal RNA (442 nucleotides) under uncultured bacterium. Its description in RNAcentral is "partial 16S ribosomal RNA". It matches the Rfam family "Bacterial small subunit ribosomal RNA", at positions 338 to 795 of the family's 1533-position model. The record is from RNAcentral.